Molecule: ribosomal RNA, 1349 nt
Filed under: metagenome
Description: bacterial LSU rRNA
Rfam family: Bacterial large subunit ribosomal RNA
Source: RNAcentral
UGAGUACGAGCUGCUACGGCAGCGAAGUGGGUGAUGUCAAGCUUCCAAGAAAAGCCCUAUACCCAUUAAGGCAUGAUGGCCUGUACCCGAAACCGACACAGGUGGGGUGGUAGAGAAUACCGAGGGGCGCGAGAUAACUCUCUCUAAGGAACUCGGCAAAAUGGCCCCGUAACUUCGGGAGAAGGGGUGCCACCGCAAGGUGGUCGCAGUGAAGAGGCCCAGGCGACUGUUUACCAAAAACACAGGUCUCCGCUAAGUCGCAAGACGAUGUAUGGGGGCUGACGCCUGCCCAGUGCCGGAAGGUUAAGGAAGCUGGUCAGCGUAAGCGAAGCUAGCGACUGAAGCCCCGGUGAACGGCGGCCGUAACGAUAACGGUCCUAAGGUAGCGAAAUUCCUUGUCGGGUAAGUUCCGACCCGCACGAAAGGCGUAACGAUCUGGGCGCUGUCUCGGAGAGAGGCUCGGCGAAAUAGAAUUGUCUGUGAAGAUGCGGACUACGUGCACCCGGACAGAAAGACCCUAUGAAGCUUUACUGUAGCUUGGUAUUGUGCUCGGGCUCGGAAUGCGCAGGAUAGGUGGGAGGCUAUGAACCAUUGCUUGUGGGUGAUGGUGAGCCACUGGUGAGAUACCACUCUUUCCGAGCUAGAGUUCUAACAGCCACCCGUUAUCCGGGGGCUGGACAGUAUCAGGUGGGCAGUUUGACUGGGGCGGUCGCCUCCUAAAAGGUAACGGAGGCGCGCAAAGGUUUGCUCAGGCUGGUUGGAAAUCAGCCGACGAGUGUAAAAGCAGAAGCAAGCUUGACUGUGAGACCUACAAGUCGAACAGGGAGGAAACUCGGCUUUAGUGAUCCGACGGUUCUGCGUGGAAGGGCCGUCGCUCAACGGAUAAAAGUUACUCUAGGAUAACAGGCUGAUCUCCCCCAAGAGUUCACAUCGACGGGGAGGUUUGGCACCUCGAUGUCGGCUCAUCGCAACCUGGGGCUGAAGUCGGUCCCAAGGGUUGGGCUGUUCGCCCAUUAAAGCGGUACGCGAGCUGGGUUCAGAACGUCGUGAGACAGUUCGGUCCAUAUCCGGUGCAUGCGCAGGAAUAUUGAGAGGAUUUCUCCCUAGUACGAGAGGACCGGGAGGAACGCACCUCUGGUGUACCAGUUAUCGUGCCAACGGUAAACGCUGGGUAGCCAUGUGCGGAGAGGAUAACCGCUGAAAGCAUCUAAGUGGGAAGCCCACCUCAAGAUGAGUAUUCCCAUGGGGUAACCCAGUAAGGUCACGGGAAGAACACCCGUUGAUAGGCUCUACGUGGAAGCGCAGUAAUGUGUGAAGCGGAGGAGUACUAAUAGACCGAGGGCUUGACC